Molecule: ribosomal RNA, 776 nt
Filed under: Hysterangium sp. OSC122857
Lineage: Eukaryota; Fungi; Basidiomycota; Agaricomycetes; Hysterangiales; Hysterangiaceae
Description: SSU rRNA
Rfam family: Bacterial small subunit ribosomal RNA
Source: RNAcentral
GCAAAUUGUUGUUAACUGAUGUUAAUAAAGUGUAGGGGUGAGUAUUUUAAAUAAGAAACACUAUAGACUUCGGAAAUAGAAGAUAUUAAGAAAGGAAAUUUUCUACUAUAGAAUUCGAUUUAAAUCGAUUAGGUAGUUGAUAGGGUAAAGGCCUACCAAGCCCACAAUCGAAAGCCAAGUUUGACAGAUCAUAUGGCCACAUUGGGAAUGAAAUAUCCCAAGUAGAGAACUCUACCAGCAGUCGAGAAUAUUAGUCAAUGCUCGCAAGAGUGAACUAGCUAACUGGAAUCAUGAGUGUGUCACUCGUGAAUUGUAUAAGGAAAAAUAAUGAUGUCACUUUUACAAAUAGUGUUGUCCAAAACUGGUGCCAGAAGACUCGGUAAGGCCAGAGACGCAAGCGUUAAUCAUCCUGAUCAGGCGUAAAGGGUUUGUAGGCAGCUUUAAAUUAAUUAAAGAUUGAAUCAUAUAGAAGUCAAGAGAAUUAGUGGAUUAGGGUUGAUAUCCGUAUAAACUAUUAAGAAUUCUAAUUAGCGAAGGCACUUUUCUAUCUACUGAUUGACGCUGAGAAACGAAGGGGAGGAAACAAAACAGGAUUAGAUACCCUAAUAUCCCUCUCUGUAAACGAUGAAUGGUAGUUGCUAGUAAUAAUAAUUAGUGACGAGGCUAACGCGUUAACCAUUCCGCCUUGUGAGUACGACUGCAAAGUUGAAAACAAAAAAAUUAGUCGGUUUCGGGAGCAAACGAAGUGAAGCAUGUUAUUUAAUUCGAUAAUCCGC